CCGGUUGAUCCUGCCAGAGGCUACUGCUAUCGGGGUCCGACUAAGCCAUGCGAGUUGAGAGGGUUUGGCCCUCGGCAUAUUGCUCAGUAACACGCGGAUAACCUGCCCUUGGGUUCGGGAUAACCCCGGGAAACUGGGACUAAUACCGGAUAGAUCAAAGAAACUGGAAUGUUCUCUGGCUAAAAACUCCGGUGCCCAAGGAUGGGUCUGCGGCCUAUCAGGUAGUAGUGGGUGUAACGUACCUACUAGCCUGCGACGGGUAAGGGUUGUGAGAGCAAGAGCCCUGAGAUGGAUUCUGAGACAUGAAUCCAGGCCCUACGGGGUGCAGCAGGCGCGAAAACUUUACACUGCGGGAAACCGCGAUAAGGGGACCCCGAGUGCCAGCACCUAGUGCUGGCUGUCCAGCUGUCCAAAUAACAGUUGUUAGCAAGGGCCGGGCAAGACCGGUGCCAGCCGCCGCGGUAACACCGGCGGCCCGAGUGGUAGCCGUUAUUAUUGGGUUUAAAGGGUCCGUAGCCGGCCUAUUAAGUCUCUUGGGAAAUCUGGCGACUCAAUCGUCAGUCGUCCAAGAGAUACUGGUAGGCUUGGGACCGGGAGAGGUGGGAGGUACUCCAGGGGUAGGGGUGAAAUCUCGUAAUCCUUGGGGGACCACCGAUGGCGAAGGCAUCCCACCAGAACGGGUCCGACGGUGAGGGACGAAAGCUGGGGGCACGAACCGGAUUAGAUACCCGGGUAGUCCCAGCCGUAAACGAUGCUCGCUAGGUGUCAGGUGCGGUGCGACCGCAUCUGGUGCCGCAGUGAAAACUUGAAGCGAGUCACCUGGGAAGUACGGUCGCAAGGCUGAAGCUUAAAGGAAUUGGCGGGGGAGCAC
Molecule: ribosomal RNA, 871 nt
Filed under: uncultured archaeon
Lineage: Archaea
Description: bacterial SSU rRNA
Rfam family: Archaeal small subunit ribosomal RNA
Source: RNAcentral